RNAcentral lists this ribosomal RNA (327 nucleotides) under uncultured eukaryote. Its description in RNAcentral is "partial 18S ribosomal RNA". It matches the Rfam family "Eukaryotic small subunit ribosomal RNA", at positions 1470 to 1796 of the family's 1831-position model. The record is from RNAcentral.
CCCCUAGAUGUUCUGGGCUGCACGCGCGCUACACUGAUGCACUCAACGAGUUUACGACCUUGUCCGAGAGGAUUGGGUAAUCUUUUUAAAAUGCAUCGUGAUGGGGAUAGAUGAUUGCAAUUAUUCAUCUUCAACGAGGAAUUCCUAGUAAACGCAAGUCAUCAGCUUGCAUUGAUUACGUCCCUGCCCUUUGUACACACCGCCCGUCGCACCUACCGAUUGAAUGGUCCGGUGAAAUUCUCGGACGCGGACUUGCGAUGUUAAUUCGGAGCUUGACUGUGAAAGUUAAUUAAACCUUACCAUUUAGAGGAAGGUGAAGUCGUAACA